RNAcentral lists this unclassified non-coding RNA (289 nucleotides) under Hevea brasiliensis (rubber tree). The record is from RNAcentral. Lineage: Eukaryota; Viridiplantae; Streptophyta; Magnoliopsida; Malpighiales; Euphorbiaceae.
GGACACUUCAACUGCAGCUUCCUGGUCAAUUUCCUUCUUGGUUCGAUGGCGCACGAACAGGGGCUUGCCUCUCCAUUUGAAAGCCAUGUUCUUCCCCUCUGGAAUAUCGGAUAGCUUGAUUUCAAUUUUCGACAUGGCCAACACGUCGGCAGAAGCGCUCAUGCUGGAAACAAACUGAGAGACGACAUUCUUGGCGGCAUAUGCGACACCCACAGUAGUUGUUGCAGUCACCAAAUAGGAGAAACCUUUCCGAGCCUCACUGCUCUCUUUCGAAGACUUUGUACUAUCU